UACGUAGGGGGCUAGCGUUAUCCGGAAUUACUGGGCGUAAAGGGUGCGUAGGUGGUUUCUUAAGUCAGAGGUGAAAGGCUACGGCUCAACCGUAGUAAGCCUUUGAAACUGGGAAACUUGAGUGCAGGAGAGGAGAGUGGAAUUCCUAGUGUAGCGGUGAAAUGCGUAGAUAUUAGGAGGAACACCUGUUGCGAAGGCGGCUCUCUGGACUGUAACUGACACUGAGGCACGAAAGCGUGGGGAGCAAACAGG
This 252-nucleotide ribosomal RNA is filed under the name uncultured bacterium. Its description in RNAcentral is "partial 16S ribosomal RNA". It matches the Rfam family "Bacterial small subunit ribosomal RNA", at positions 524 to 776 of the family's 1533-position model. The record is from RNAcentral.